Molecule: non-coding RNA, 401 nt
Filed under: Pan troglodytes (chimpanzee)
Lineage: Eukaryota; Metazoa; Chordata; Mammalia; Primates; Hominidae
Source: RNAcentral
GAAAAUGAUAAACCUCAGCUGUUUAAGAGAAGAACGUCUGAGUAGCUGUUGAUUACCUCCCAUAAUCACAAAAGAACUUUUUUUUUUAAAAAAAGAAUUUGCACUUUUCGUCUGUUAAAACGCGGUCAUUCUUUUGCUUUCAAAUCGAACUUCACGACAGUUAGCAACUUCAAGAACGCUUCCAAAUGGAUAAAUCUUUCCAGAAGAUUUCUUGCUUCAAAACAGCUGCAUUUUUGGAAGAAAGUCCACAACUGACAACUAAGCAAAACCUUCCUGGUGGAUAGCAUAAAUCUGCUUUGUUGAAGCUGCUCAUUUGUCUGAUCUAUGAGUCCAGAAGAUGCAAACUCCCUUCCCAGCUUAUGCAAAAAUACUUCCAGUAAAAACAAGCCCUUUGGCCCUUU